GACGAACGCUGGCGGCGUGCUUAACACAUGCAAGUCGAACGGAAAGGCCCUGCUUUUGUGGGGUGCUCGAGUGGCUAACGGGUGAGUAACACGUGAGUAACCUGCCCUUGACUUUGGGAUAACUUCAGUAAACUGGGGCUAAUACCGGAUAGGAGCUCCUGCUGCAUGGUGGGGGUUGUAAAGUUUCGGCGGUUGGGGAUGGACUCGCGGCUUAUCAGCUUGUUGGUGGGGUAGUGGCUUACCAAGGCUUUGACGGGUAGCCGGCCUGAGAGGGUGACCGGCCACAUUGGGACUGAGAUACGGCCCAGACUCCUACGGGAGGCAGCAGUGGGGAAUAUUGCACAAUGGGCGGAAGCCUGAUGCAGCAACGCCGCGUGCGGGAUGACGGCCUUCGGGUUGUAAACCGCUUUCGCCUGUGACGAAGCGUGAGUGACGGUAAUGGGUAAAGAAGCACCGGCUAACUACGUG
This 468-nucleotide ribosomal RNA is filed under the name uncultured bacterium. RNAcentral describes it as "partial 16S ribosomal RNA". It matches the Rfam family "Bacterial small subunit ribosomal RNA", at positions 28 to 507 of the family's 1533-position model. The record is from RNAcentral.